UACAGAGGUCUCAAGCGUUGUUCGGAUUCAUUGGGCGUAAAGGGUGCGUAGGCGGCGCCGUAAGUGGGGUGUGAAAUUUCGAGGCUUAACCUCGAAACUGCAUUCCAUACUGCGGUGCUUGAGGACUGGAGAGGAGACUGGAAUUUACGGUGUAGCAGUGAAAUGCGUAGAUAUCGUAAGGAAGACCAGUGGCGAAGGCGGGUCUCUGGACAGUUCCUGACACUGAGACACGAAGGCCAGGGGAGCAAACGGG
RNAcentral lists this ribosomal RNA (253 nucleotides) under uncultured bacterium. RNAcentral describes it as "partial 16S ribosomal RNA". It matches the Rfam family "Bacterial small subunit ribosomal RNA", at positions 524 to 776 of the family's 1533-position model. The record is from RNAcentral.